RNAcentral lists this ribosomal RNA (429 nucleotides) under Bacteroidota bacterium. RNAcentral describes it as "Bacteroidetes bacterium partial 16S ribosomal RNA". It matches the Rfam family "Bacterial small subunit ribosomal RNA", at positions 355 to 776 of the family's 1533-position model. Lineage: Bacteria; Pseudomonadati; Bacteroidota. The record is from RNAcentral.
UAGGGAAUCUUCCGCAAUGGACGCAAGUCUGACGGAGCAACGCCGCGUGAGUGAAGAAGGAUUUCGGUUCGUAAAACUCUGUUGUUAGAGAAGAACAGCGCAUAGAGUAACUGUUAUGCGUGUGACGGUAUCUAACCAGAAAGCCACGGCUAACUACGUGCCAGCAGCCGCGGUAAUACGUAGGUGGCAAGCGUUGUCCGGAUUUAUUGGGCGUAAAGCGAGCGCAGGCGGUCAAUUAAGUCUGAUGUGAAAGCCCCCGGCUCAACCGGGGAGGGUCAUUGGAAACUGGUUGACUUGAGUGCAGAAGAGGAGAGUGGAAUUCCAUGUGUAGCGGUGAAAUGCGUAGAUAUAUGGAGGAACACCAGUGGCGAAGGCGACUCUCUGGUCUGUAACUGACGCGGAGGUUCGAAAGCGUGGGUAGCAAACAGG